ACAAUGGGCGCAAGCCUGAUGGAGCAACACCGCGUGAGUGAAGAAGGGUUUCGGCUCGUAAAGCUCUGUUGUUAAAGAAGAACACGUAUGAGAGUAACUGUUCAUACGUUGACGGUAUUUAACCAGAAAGUCACGGCUAACUACGUGCCAGCAGCCGCGGUAAUACGUAGGUGGCAACGUUAUCCGGAUUUAUUGGGCGUAAAGAGAGUGCAGGCGGUUUUCUAAGUCUGAUGUGAAAGCCUUCGGCUUAGCCGGAGAAGUGCAUCGGAAACUGGAUAACUUGAGUGCAGAAGAGGGUAGUGGAACUCCAUGUGUAGCGGUGGAAUGCGUAGAUAUAUGGAAGAACACCAGUGGCGAAGGCGGCUACCUGGUCUGCAACUGACGCUGAGACUCGAAAGCAUGGGUAGCGAACAGGAUUAGAUACCCUGGUAG
This 432-nucleotide ribosomal RNA is filed under the name uncultured bacterium. RNAcentral describes it as "bacterial SSU rRNA". It matches the Rfam family "Bacterial small subunit ribosomal RNA", at positions 368 to 793 of the family's 1533-position model. The record is from RNAcentral.